GGAACAGAGAUCCGAGCAGCCAGGACGUGUGCCGUAAGCCUCAGCGCUGGUGCAGGGACAGAGCGGAGCUGACGCUGCCCAGGGACUGCGGGCCCCUGUCCUCAGGGUUGACAGUGGCACAGGGAGUUCGCUGAGGUCUUCAGAACAAGAGAAACUGGGCCUGAGUUGCUGUUCAUGAGGAAACACUGAGAUGGAUCUGGACCUGCCUUGGGAAACGCACUGCGAGACCUCGAGCCUGAGCCUGAGCCGUGAUGGGGAGAGACCUUCGGGGGUCUUUGGAUUCUGUGUGCAGAACGAAUGUUCCCAAGGAUGGAGGUGAAUUCCAAAGACGAAUUUCCCUGUAUCCUGCAUGGCCCACUGCAUCUAAAAUGGAAGAGCCAAGAAGAAACCAGCCGCUCACUGGGGGCCCUUCCUCGUCCUGAGCUGAUUCUGCGGAGACUGGUGAACGUGUUGUGACCAAGGAAACGUGUUCCCACGUGAAAUGCAAUCGGCUGCUUCUCCCAGGUGAGGUCCUCCCACAGCCCAAAAGGCAGGGGGCCCCCUGGACAGGGAAGGGGCGUGCUCACCAUUUCUGUGAUUUCUGCAAUGUCUUCUCUGUGCUCCCAGCUGGGAAACAUGUUGGUGAAGGUCAGGGGCUCCAGACCGGCAUGGAUGAGGUAAGACUUGGGGGGCGGCUUCUUGAGGUUUUUUCCUGCAGUCAUACAGAAGGCAGAUGUCACAGACCCAGCAUGGCCCCGAUGACCCUGGCUUAUCCCCUGUAAUUUUUUCCCUGUUUGCAUCUCUUGACUUAACGGUUAAAAUGGAAGUUAUGAGUUUGUAGCCCCUCCCCGCCAUGAUGUUUACAAAAAAUGUUAAUUUCAUGCAUGUGACUGUGCAUGAAAUUGCAUGGGAUCGACCUGACUUUGAACUUCCUGAACCCAACAGAACACUUCUGGGUCCCUGGAUGGGAGAAGAGCAAGCCUCCCUCUGUGGCGUCUGGGUGGGACCGUCCCUCCUGGACUCACCUGUGAAGUAUUCCUCUGAUUGCCUAACCCAGCCUUGAGUUCGGUGUGAAUUACCAGCUAAUGGCAGCAUUUUAGAAGCUACUUUAGCUUAAACAUUUGGUGGGAAGUUUAUUAAGUUAUUUUUUACGAAAGAGCUUUC
Long non-coding RNA from Lagenorhynchus albirostris (white-beaked dolphin), 1143 nucleotides. RefSeq lists it as uncharacterized. The transcript has 4 exons. The record is from RefSeq and is a predicted model, not a curated record. Lineage: Eukaryota; Metazoa; Chordata; Mammalia; Artiodactyla; Delphinidae.